Molecule: ribosomal RNA, 253 nt
Filed under: uncultured bacterium
Lineage: Bacteria
Description: partial 16S ribosomal RNA
Rfam family: Bacterial small subunit ribosomal RNA
Source: RNAcentral
UACGAACCGUGCGAACGUUGUUCGGAAUCACUGGGCUUAAAGGGCGCGUAGGCGGCCUAUCAAGUCCGGGGUGAAAGCCCCCAGCUUAACUGGGGAAGUGCCUUGGAUACUGGUGUGCUCGAGGGAGGUAGGGGUCGAGGGAACUUCUGGUGGAGCGGUGAAAUGCGUUGAUAUCAGAAGGAACGCCGGUGGCGAAAGCGAUCGACUGGACCUUUUCUGACGCUGAGGCGCGAAAGCUAGGGGAGCAAACGGG